UACGGAGGGGGCAAGCGUUGUUCGGAAUUACUGGGCGUAAAGGGCGCGCAGGCGGCUGCUCAAGUCAGGCGUGAAAGGCCUGGGCUCAACCCGGGAAUUGCGCUUGAGACUGGGCUGGCUUGAGUGCGGGAGAGGAUGGUGGAAUUCCCAGUGUAGAGGUGAAAUUCGUAGAUAUUGGGAAGAACACCGGUUGCGAAGGCAGCUCGCUGGGACGUUACUGACGCUGAGACGCGAAAGCGUGGGGAGCAAACAGG
RNAcentral lists this ribosomal RNA (254 nucleotides) under uncultured bacterium. Its description in RNAcentral is "partial 16S ribosomal RNA". It matches the Rfam family "Bacterial small subunit ribosomal RNA", at positions 524 to 776 of the family's 1533-position model. The record is from RNAcentral.